GACGAACCGUGCAAACGUUAUUCGGAAUCACUGGGCAUAAAGGGCGCGUAGGCGGCUCCAAAAGUCAGGGGUGAAAUCCGGCAGCUUAACUGUCGCAGUGCCUUUGAUACUGUGGAGCUAGAGGGAUGUAGGGGUCUGUGGAACUUCCGGUGGAGCGGUGAAAUGCGUUGAUAUCGGAAGGAACGCCGGUGGCGAAAGCGACGGACUGGACAUCUUCUGACGCUGAGGCGCGAAAGCCAGGGGAGCAAACGGG
This 253-nucleotide ribosomal RNA is filed under the name uncultured bacterium. Its description in RNAcentral is "partial 16S ribosomal RNA". It matches the Rfam family "Bacterial small subunit ribosomal RNA", at positions 524 to 776 of the family's 1533-position model. The record is from RNAcentral.